UCUCCGAUCAUAAAUUUCAG
This 20-nucleotide non-coding RNA is filed under the name Arabidopsis thaliana (thale cress). Lineage: Eukaryota; Viridiplantae; Streptophyta; Magnoliopsida; Brassicales; Brassicaceae. The record is from RNAcentral.